AUUAAAGUGUGUAAACAGAAUUUCAUACUCGAUCUCAUAGAUCCCUAUAGAAUUAUGUGGAAAGCCGUAUUGGAUGAAAAUCGUAUGUACGGCUUGGAUGAAGAUCUUUCCUAUCUUUCAAGAUCCACCCUACAAUAUGGGAUUAAAAGGCCCAAAAAGUGA
This 162-nucleotide ribosomal RNA is filed under the name Triticum aestivum (bread wheat). RNAcentral's name for it is "partial small subunit ribosomal RNA". The record is from RNAcentral. Lineage: Eukaryota; Viridiplantae; Streptophyta; Magnoliopsida; Poales; Poaceae.